GAUGAACGCUGGCGGCGUGCCUAAUACAUGCAAGUCGAGCGAACAGACGAGGAGCUUGCUCCUCUGACGUUAGCGGCGGACGGGUGAGUAACACGUGGAUAACCUACCUAUAAGACUGGGAUAACUUCGGGAAACCGGAGCUAAUACCGGAUAAUAUAUGGAACCGCAUGGUUCAAGAGUGAAAGACGGGUUUGCUGUCACUUAUAGAUGGAUCCGCGCCGCAUUAGCUAGUUGGUAAGGUAACGGCUUACCAAGGCAACGAUGCGUAGCCGACCUGAGAGGGUGAUCGGACAGCCUGGAACUGAGACACGGCCCACACUCCUACGGGAGGCAGCAGUAGGGACUCUUCCGCAAUGGGCGAAUGCCUGACGGAGCAACGCCGCGUGAGUGCUGAAGGUCUUCGGAUCGUAAAACUCUGUUAUUCGGGAAGAACAAAUGUGUAAGUAACUAUGCACGUCUUGACGGUACCUAAUCAGAAAGCCACGGCUAACUACGUG
RNAcentral lists this ribosomal RNA (497 nucleotides) under uncultured bacterium. Its description in RNAcentral is "partial 16S ribosomal RNA". It matches the Rfam family "Bacterial small subunit ribosomal RNA", at positions 28 to 507 of the family's 1533-position model. The record is from RNAcentral.